Molecule: long non-coding RNA, 1467 nt
Filed under: Fragaria vesca (wild strawberry)
Lineage: Eukaryota; Viridiplantae; Streptophyta; Magnoliopsida; Rosales; Rosaceae
Description: long non-coding RNA (FVES_LNC001825)
Source: RNAcentral
UUUCAAAGGACUUUAGCCUACGAAAUUAUAUGAAAAGUCGUCGGUUAAAGUCGAAAAUUUUUCAAAAUUUUCAACCAAAAUUUUUUUGCGGUCAACCAAAAUUUUAAAAAGAGUUUAGCCGACGAAAAUAAAGAAUUUCGUCGGGUAAAGUUCUUUAUAUAGAAGUUUUACCAGAGGUGGAUAGUAAGAAGUCAGAAAAUCAGAAAAAGUUCCAGAUUUUCUUCUCGGCCUAGCUCCACCGUCAAGCAACUGGAGACCGCCACACUUGUCCCAAAAGCUUCGUCGUCGUCUCUACUUCAUUGCUGGACAGGUGGUGCAUCGAGUGGCGCCGCCGUGAGGGAUAAAUCGAGCUCCAAAACUCCGCCGGUUAGGAUUCGGUGUCGAUCGAAUUUCUCCUUCCUCAGGUCACCAUUUGGUGAGUUCUAUAUAUGGAUAAGUUGAGUUUGAUUAGUACUACAUUCCCCUAGAAUUUGGUAGCUUAAUUCGGUGUGUGUGAGGAGAAUCGAAGAUUUGAAGUUUUUAGGGUUUAAAAUUGGGGAUUUUUAUAUUUUGAUUCAAUUGACCUGUUUAGGCUUAGAAUUGGGCUUCGACUAGAAAGUUGUUCGAAAUGUUGAGAGGAAGAUUCUGUCAAAUUUUGGUGGUGAUUGGAGGUGGCCGAAAGUUUCUGCAGUUUUUUUUUCAAAAACCAGCAACUUUAGCCGACGAUAUUUAAAUACCAUAUUCGUCGGCUAUAGUAUUUUUAAAUUUUUUAUAAGGUUUAGCCGACGAAUUAUGGCAUGUUUCGUCGGCUAUAGUUAUUUUUUUAAUUUUUUUUAUAAGGUUUAGCCGACGAAACAGACUAUAUUUCGUCAGCUAUAGUUAUUUUUAAAUUUUUUUUUAUAAGGUUUAGCCGACGAAACAGAUUAUAUUUCGUCGGCUAUAGUUAUUUUUUUUAUUUUUUAUUACACACUUUUGCCGACGAAUAUCUUAUUGUUUCGUCAGCUAAAGUCUGGGAAAAAAACCGACGACAUUUUUUUCGUCGGCUAAACUGUGGGACUAUAGCCGACGACGUCUUUUUUUUUCGUCGGCUAAAGUCAUCGCCGACAACCUUUUCCCGACGAAACUAUAGCUGACGAAGGUUCGUCAGCUAAGAUCUUAGCCGACGAAUUAAGCUAACAGGCCGACGAAACUUUUUCGUCGGCUAAAGUGCUUGUCCUGGUAGUGUUAUUAUUAUUUGAUUUGAGAUAUAUUUUAUAUCUGAUAUUAUUAUUGUCUUUGUAUGGUAAUAAGAGAAGGACCUACUGGAAACCAAUCUGAUUAAAGACGUGAAUAAAGAGUAGAAGUUCUUCAUCUAUAAAGAAGAUUGGAAGAAUACCUUGUGCACAAUUGUUCUUAGAGAACUAUCUUUGCACGCAUAUUUGAGAGAUAGUAUUUCUGCUGUAAUACUUUGUAAGGUCACAAGUUCAACUGUUCCAUGUUGAGUUGAAC